GUGAAGAACGCAGCGAAAUGCGAUACGUAAUGUGAAUUGCAGAAUUCAGUGAAUCAUCGAGUCUUUGAACGCACAUUGCGCCCCCUGGUAUUCCGGGGGGCAUGCCUGUCCGAGCGUCAUUGCUGCCCUCAAGCACGGCUUGUGUGUUGGGCCUCCGUCCUCCUCCCGGGGGACGGGCCCGAAAGGCAGCGGCGGCACCGCGUCCGGUCCUCGAGCGUAUGGGGCUUCGUCACCCGCUCUUGUAGGCCCGGCCGGCGCUUGCCGACACAUCAAUCUUUUUUCCAGGUUGACCUCGGAUCAGGUAGGGAUACCCGCUGAACUUAAGCAUAUCAAUAAGCGGAGGA
RNAcentral lists this unclassified non-coding RNA (344 nucleotides) under soil metagenome. Its description in RNAcentral is "partial contains 5.8S ribosomal RNA, internal transcribed spacer 2, and large subunit ribosomal RNA". The stretch from base 2 to 119 matches the Rfam family "5.8S ribosomal RNA", at positions 37 to 154 of the family's 154-position model. The record is from RNAcentral.